AUGUGGCUGAACUGUUUCCAGGAAAAACCUGCAGAAAGGAGCUUCCUGUUUCCUCACAGCUCAGACAUGAAGCCCACCCUCAUCUCAGUGCUUGUGAUGAUAGUCACACUCAGAGGAACAAGAGCCCAGACAGUGACUCAGCCUGAGGACCACAUCUCCGUCUUUGAAGGGUCCCCAGUGCAGGUGAAGUGCAACUACUCAUAUUCUGGGAGUCCUGUGCUCUUCUGGUAUGUACACUACCCCAAACAACACCUCCAGUUACUCCUGAGACACACCUCAAGAGAGAGUAUCAGAGGUUUCACGGCUGACCUCAACAAGGGUGAGGCAUCCUUCCACCUGAAAAAACUAUCAGCUCAAGAGGAAGACUCAGCGGUGUAUUACUGUGCUGUGAGGGACACAGUAACUGGUUUUACAAAGGAAGCAGAGCACAAACCCCUUAAGAGUUACUGA
This is a non-coding RNA of Globicephala melas (long-finned pilot whale), 450 nucleotides long. The record is from the annotation of a RefSeq genome assembly. NCBI's taxonomy places the organism in Eukaryota, Metazoa, Chordata, Mammalia, Artiodactyla, Delphinidae.